CGCUCGCGCGCGUCCCAGGCUCACUCACGCUAGUCCCUGCCGUGCGCGCGCUGCCUGGGGGGAGAGGCCAUGGGGAUGAGCCAGGAGAGCCCGAGGAUUCUUUUCCUUUGGAGACAGUUACAUUUCUGAACAGGAGUUCAGCAUUGUAUCUCACAAGCUUUUUCUCAAACAAGGUUUUUAAACCUAACCUAACUGUCCAGAGGACGUUUCCAUGCUGAUGACAGGUUCUGUUCGAUAAUGAUCCAAAGCGGUGCGGACUGACGCACGUUCAUUUUCAUCAUCUGAGGCAGAUGCCAC
Molecule: long non-coding RNA, 297 nt
Filed under: Chelonoidis abingdonii (Abingdon island giant tortoise)
Lineage: Eukaryota; Metazoa; Chordata; Testudines; Testudinidae
Description: lncRNA (ENSCABG00000016655.1)
Source: RNAcentral